Molecule: transfer RNA, 64 nt
Filed under: Corydalus sp. 1 YLJ-2021a
Lineage: Eukaryota; Metazoa; Arthropoda; Insecta; Megaloptera; Corydalidae
Description: tRNA-Arg
Source: RNAcentral
AAGUAUGAAGCGAUUUAUUGCAUUUAGUUUCGACCUAACCUUAGGUACAUCCUACCCUUACUUU